GAAGCAUAAAUAUUCAGAAUCCUACCUACACUACAGCUUCAGUUACAGCUCCAGGUUGACGUUGUUUACAAAAUAUGCUUGUUUCAUCCCGCAUAUACUGCGAAGGUUAUAGUUUACUUGUAUGUAGUUAACAAUUAUGUACAUAUUGUGAGAAAUGAAAGAAACAUUGGUUCUUUGUACAUCCUGCUCAUAGUGAAAGGAAUUCCAAAAGAAUCGAUCACCCCAUUGAGUCUCUUUAAUGAUAGUGAACUGG
This 253-nucleotide unclassified non-coding RNA is filed under the name Hevea brasiliensis (rubber tree). The record is from RNAcentral. Lineage: Eukaryota; Viridiplantae; Streptophyta; Magnoliopsida; Malpighiales; Euphorbiaceae.